AGACUAAGCCAUGCAUGUCUAAGUAUAAACGCUUCUAUACUGUGAAACUGCGAAUGGCUCAUUAAAUCAGUUAUAGUUUAUUUGAUGGUUCCUUACUACUUGGAUAACCGUAGUAAUUCUAGAGCUAAUACAUGCAGAAAGUCCCGACUUCUUGGAAGGGAUGUAUUUAUUAGAUCCAAAACCAGCGCGAGUUUCCUUCGGGGGCUCGGUUGCAUGGUGAUUCAUGAUAACUGCUCGAAUCGCAUGGCCUUGCGCCGGCGAUGAUCCAUUCAAAUUUCUGCCCUAUCAACUUUCGAUGGCAAGGUAGUGGCUUGCCAUGGUGACAACGGGUGACGGAGAAUUAGGGUUCGAUUCCGGAGAGGGAGCCUGAGAAACGGCUACCACAUCCAAGGAAGGCAGCAGGCGCGCAAAUUACCCAAUCCCGACUCGGGGAGGUAGUGACAAUAAAUAACAAUGCUGGGCUAUCGUAGUCUGGCAAUUGGAAUGAGUACAAUCUAAACCCCUUAACGAGGAACAAUUGGAGGGCAAGUCUGGUGCCAGCAGCCGCGGUAAUUCCAGCUCCAAUAGCGUAUAUUAAAGUUGUUGCAGUUAAAAAGCUCGUAGUUGGAUUUCGGGGCAGCCCGGCUGGUCCGUCGCGAGGCGAGUACUGGUCGGCCGCCCUUCCUCUCGAAAGCCCCGACUGCUCUUCACUGUAGUGGUCGGGGAGUUCGGGACGUUUACUUUGAAAAAAUUAGAGUGUUCAAGGCAGGCCAUCGCCUGAAUACAUUAGCAUGGAAUAAUGGAAGAGGACCUCGGUCCUAUUUUGUUGGUUUCUAGGGCCGAAGUAAUGAUUAAGAGGGACAGUUGGGGGCAUUCGUAUUUAAUUGUCAGAGGUGAAAUUCUCGGAUUUAUGAAAGACGAACAACUGCGAAAGCAUUUGCCAAGGAUGUUUUCAUUAAUCAAGAACGAAAGUUAGGGGUUCGA
Molecule: ribosomal RNA, 963 nt
Filed under: Ceratoporella nicholsoni
Lineage: Eukaryota; Metazoa; Porifera; Demospongiae; Agelasida; Astroscleridae
Description: SSU rRNA
Rfam family: Eukaryotic small subunit ribosomal RNA
Source: RNAcentral